Molecule: non-coding RNA, 26 nt
Filed under: Rattus norvegicus (Norway rat)
Lineage: Eukaryota; Metazoa; Chordata; Mammalia; Rodentia; Muridae
Source: RNAcentral
CAACCUAGAAGACCAGGCGUAUGGUC